CCUACGGGAGGCAGCAGUGGGGGAUAUUGCACAAUGGGGGAAACCCUGAUGCAGCGACGCCGCGUGUGGGAAGACGGUCCUCUGGAUUGUAAACCACUGUCCCCAGGGACGAAGAUGACGGUACCUGGGGAGGAAGCUCCGGCUAACUACGUGCCAGCAGCAGCGGUAAUACGUAGGGAGCGAGCGUUGUCCGGAAUUACUGGGGGAAAGGGGAGCGUAGGCGGGACUGCAAGUUGGGUGUCAAAUCUACCGGCUCAACCGGUAGCCGCACUUAAAACUGCAGUUCUUGAGUGAAGUAGAGGAAGGCGGAAUUCCUAGUGUAGCGGUGAAAUGCGUAGAUAUUAGGAGGAACAUCAGUGGCGAAGGCGACCUGCUGGGCUUUUACUGACGCUGAGGCUCGAAAGUGUGGGGAGCAAACAGGAUUAGAUACCCCAGUAGUC
Molecule: ribosomal RNA, 440 nt
Filed under: uncultured bacterium
Lineage: Bacteria
Description: partial 16S ribosomal RNA
Rfam family: Bacterial small subunit ribosomal RNA
Source: RNAcentral